RNAcentral lists this ribosomal RNA (406 nucleotides) under uncultured bacterium. RNAcentral describes it as "bacterial SSU rRNA". It matches the Rfam family "Bacterial small subunit ribosomal RNA", at positions 355 to 776 of the family's 1533-position model. The record is from RNAcentral.
UGGGGAAUUUUCCGCAAUGGGCGAAAGCCUGACGGAGCAAUACCGCGUGAGGGAUGAAAGCCUGUGGGUUGUAAACCUCUUUUCUCAAGGAAGAAACUAUGACGGUACUUGAGGAAUAAGCAUCGGCUAACUCUGUGCCAGCAGCCGCGGUAAUACAGAGGAUGCAAGCGUUAUCCGGAAUCACUGGGCAUAAAGCGUCUGUAGGUUGCACAUCAAGUCUGCUGUUAAAGACUAGGGCCUAACCCUGGGAAAGCAGUGGAAACUAGUGUGCUUGAGUGUGGUAGAGGUAGAGGGAAUUCCUGGUGUAGCGGUGAAAUGCGUAGAUAUUAGGAAGAACACCAAUGGCGAAAGCACUCUACUGGGCCACAACUGACACUGAGAGACGACAGCUAGGGGAGCAAAUGGG